GCGUAUAGCUCAGUUGGCUAGAGCAUCAGUCUUACAAACUGAGGGUCCUUGGUUCAAGUCCAAGUACG
This 68-nucleotide transfer RNA is filed under the name marine eukaryotic metagenome. It matches the Rfam family "tRNA". Rfam says of the family: Transfer RNA (tRNA) molecules are approximately 80 nucleotides in length. Their secondary structure includes four short double-helical elements and three loops (D, anti-codon, and T loops). The record is from RNAcentral.